RNAcentral lists this ribosomal RNA (814 nucleotides) under uncultured bacterium. Its description in RNAcentral is "bacterial SSU rRNA". It matches the Rfam family "Bacterial small subunit ribosomal RNA", at positions 8 to 796 of the family's 1533-position model. The record is from RNAcentral.
AGAGUUUGAUCAUGGCUCAGAUUGAACGCUGGCGGCGUGAUAACACAUGCAAGUCGAACGAGAAAUUCCGACUUCGGUUGGAAGAGUAAAGUGGCGCACGGGUGAGUAACGCGUGGGUAACCUGCCCUUAAAUUUGGGAUAACUUCGCGAAAGCGACGCUAAUACCGAAUGAAGUCUUUUUUGCUGUGGCAUUAAAGAUGAAAGAUGACCUCUUCAUGAAAGUUGUCGUUUAAGGAGGGGCUCGCGUACCAUUAGCUAGUUGGUAGGGUAAUAGCCUACCAAGGCGACGAUGGUUAGCUGUUCUGAGAGGAUGAUCAGCCACACUGGAACUGAAACACGGUCCAGACUCCUACGGGAGGCAGCAGUGAGGAAUUUUGCGCAAUGGGGGAAACCCUGACGCAGCAACGCCGCGUGAGUGAAGAAGGCUUUCGGGUCGUAAAGCUCUGUCAAGUGGGAAAAAAACCUUAUGAUGAAUAAUCAUAAGGCUUGAUGGUACCACUGAAGGAAGCACCGGCUAACUCCGUGCCAGCAGCCGCGGUAAUACGGAGGGUGCAAGCGUUGAUCGGAAUUAUUGGGCGUAAAGAGCGUGUAGGCGGUUUGGUAAGUCAGAUGUGAAAGCCCUGAGCUUAACUCAGGAAGUGCAUUUGAUACUGCCAUUCUUGAGUAUGGGAGAGGAGAGUGGAAUUCCCAGUGUAGAGGUGAAAUUCGUAGAUAUUGGGAGGAACACCCGUGGCGAAGGCGGCUCUCUGGACCAAUACUGACGCUGAGACGCGAAAGCGUGGGGAGCAAACAGGAUUAGAUACCCUAGUAGUCC